GGUUAAGCGACUAAGCGUACACGGUGGAUGCCCUGGCAGUCAGAGGCGAUGAAGGACGUGCUAAUCUGCGAUAAGCGUCGGUAAGGUGAUAUGAACCGUUAUAACCGGCGAUUUCCGAAUGGGGAAACCCAGUGUGAUUCGUCACACUAUCAUUAACUGAAUCCAUAGGUUAAUGAGGCGAACCGGGGGAACUGAAACAUCUAAGUACCCCGAGGAAAAGAAAUCAACCGAGAUUCCCCCAGUAGCGGCGAGCGAACGGGGAGCAGCCCAGAGCCUGAAUCAGUGUGUGUGUUAGUGGAAGCGUCUGGAAAGGCGUGCGAUACAGGGUGACAGCCCCGUACACAAAAAUGCACAUACUGUGAGCUCGAUGAGUAGGGCGGGACACGUGGUAUCCUGUCUGAAUAUGGGGGGACCAUCCUCCAAGGCUAAAUACUCCUGACUGACCGAUAGUGAACCAGUACCGUGAGGGAAAGGCGAAAAGAACCCCGGCGAGGGGAGUGAAAAAGAACCUGAAACCGUGUACGUACAAGCAGUGGGAGCACGCUUAGGCGUGUGACUGCGUACCUUUUGUAUAAUGGGUCAGCGACUUAUAUUCUGUAGCAAGGUUAACCGAAUAGGGGAGCCGAAGGGAAACCGAGUCUUAACUGGGCGUUAAGUUGCAGGGUAUAGACCCGAAACCCGGUGAUCUAGCCAUGGGCAGGUUGAAGGUUGGGUAACACUAACUGGAGGACCGAACCGACUAAUGUUGAAAAAUUAGCGGAUGACUUGUGGCUGGGGGUGAAAGGCCAAUCAAACCGGGAGAUAGCUGGUUCUCCCCGAAAGCUAUUUAGGUAGCGCCUCGUGAAUUCAUCUCCGGGGGUAGAGCACUGUUUCGGCAAGGGGGUCAUCCCGACUUACCAACCCGAUGCAAACUGCGAAUACCGGAGAAUGUUAUUACGGGAGACACACGGCGGGUGCUAACGUCCGUCGUGAAGAGGGAAACAACCCAGACCGCCAGCUAAGGUCCCAAAGUCAUGGUUAAGUGGGAAACGAUGUGGGAAGGCCCAGACAGCCA
This 1054-nucleotide ribosomal RNA is filed under the name Escherichia coli. Its description in RNAcentral is "partial 23S ribosomal RNA". It matches the Rfam family "Bacterial large subunit ribosomal RNA", at positions 1 to 1095 of the family's 2925-position model. RNAcentral also lists the same sequence under 1 other name. The record is from RNAcentral. Lineage: Bacteria; Pseudomonadati; Pseudomonadota; Gammaproteobacteria; Enterobacterales; Enterobacteriaceae.